AUGCCUUGGCACUAGAAGCCGAUGAAGGACGUUACUAACGACGAUAUGCUUUGGGGAGCUGUAAGUAAGCUUUGAUCCAGAGAUUUCCGAAUGGGGAAACCCAGCAUGAGUUAUGUCAUGUUAUCGAUAUGUGAAUACAUAGCAUAUCAGAAGGCACACCCGGAGAACUGAAACAUCUUAGUACCCGGAGGAAGAGAAAGAAAAUUCGAUUCCCUUAGUAGCGGCGAGCGAAACGGGAAGAGCCCAAACCAACAAGCUUGCUUGUUGGGGUUGUAGGACACUCUAUACGGAGUUACAAAGGACGACAUUAGACGAAUCAUCUGGAAAGAUGAAUCAAAGAAGGUAAUAAUCCUGUAGUCGAAAAUGUUGUCUCUCUUGAGUGGAUCCUGAGUACGACGGAGCACGUGAAAUUCCGUCGGAAUCUGGGAGGACCAUCUCCUAAGGCUAAAUACUCUCUAGUGACCGAUAGUGAACCAGUACCGUGAGGGAAAGGUGAAAAGCACCCCGGAAGGGGAGUGAAAUAGAACCUGAAACCGUGUGCUUACAAGUAGUCAGAGCCCGUUAAUGGGUGAUGGCGUGCCUUUUGUAGAAUGAACCGGCGAGUUACGAUUUGAUGCAAGGUUAAGCAGUAAAUGUGGAGCCGUAGCGAAAGCGAGUCUGAAUAGGGCGUUUAGUAUUUGGUCGUAGACCCGAAACCAGGUGAUCUACCCUUGGUCAGGUUGAAGUUCAGGUAACACUGAAUGGAGGACCGAACCGACUUACGUUGAAAAGUGAGCGGAUGAACUGAGGGUAGCGGAGAAAUUCCAAUCGAACCUGGAGAUAGCUGGUUCUCUCCGAAAUAGCUUUAGGGCUAGCCUCAAGUGAUGAUUAUUGGAGGUAGAGCACUGUUUGGACGAGGGGCCCCUCUCGGGUUACCGAAUUCAGACAAACUCCGAAUGCCAAUUAAUUUAACUUGGGAGUCAGAACAUGGGUGAUAAGGUCCGUGUUCGAAAGGGAAACAGCCCAGACCACCAGCUAAGGUCCCAAAAUAUAUGUUAAGUGGAAAAGGAUGUGGCGUUGCCCAGACAACUAGGAUGUUGGCUUAGAAGCAGCCAUCAUUUAAAGAGUGCGUAAUAGCUCACUAGUCGAGUGACACUGCGCCGAAAAUGUACCGGGGCUAAACAUAUUACCGAAGCUGUGGAUUGUCCUUUGGACAAUGGUAGGAGAGCGUUCUAAGGGCGUUGAAGCAUGAUCGUAAGGACAUGUGGAGCGCUUAGAAGUGAGAAUGCCGGUGUGAGUAGCGAAAGACGGGUGAGAAUCCCGUCCACCGAUUGACUAAGGUUUCCAGAGGAAGGCUCGUCCGCUCUGGGUUAGUCGGGUCCUAAGCUGAGGCCGACAGGCGUAGGCGAUGGAUAACAGGUUGAUAUUCCUGUACCACCUAUAAUCGUUUUAAUCGAUGGGGGGACGCAGUAGGAUAGGCGAAGCGUGCGAUUGGAUUGCACGUCUAAGCAGUAAGGCUGAGUAUUAGGCAAAUCCGGUACUCGUUAAGGCUGAGCUGUGAUGGGGAGAAGACAUUGUGUCUUCGAGUCGUUGAUUUCACACUGCCGAGAAAAGCCUCUAGAUAGAAAAUAGGUGCCCGUACCGCAAACCGACACAGGUAGUCAAGAUGAGAAUUCUAAGGUGAGCGAGCGAACUCUCGUUAAGGAACUCGGCAAAAUGACCCCGUAACUUCGGGAGAAGGGGUGCUCUUUAGGGUUAACGCCCAGAAGAGCCGCAGUGAAUAGGCCCAAGCGACUGUUUAUCAAAAACACAGGUCUCUGCUAAACCGUAAGGUGAUGUAUAGGGGCUGACGCCUGCCCGGUGCUGGAAGGUUAAGAGGAGUGGUUAGCUUCUGCGAAGCUACGAAUCGAAGCCCCAGUAAACGGCGGCCGUAACUAUAACGGUCCUAAGGUAGCGAAAUUCCUUGUCGGGUAAGUUCCGACCCGCACGAAAGGCGUAACGAUUUGGGCACUGUCUCAACGAGAGACUCGGUGAAAUCAUAGUACCUGUGAAGAUGCAGGUUACCCGCGACAGGACGGAAAGACCCCGUGGAGCUUUACUGUAGCCUGAUAUUGAAAUUCGGCACAGCUUGUACAGGAUAGGUAGGAGCCUUUGAAACGUGAGCGCUAGCUUACGUGGAGGCGCUGGUGGGAUACUACCCUAGCUGUGUUGGCUUUCUAACCCGCACCACUUAUCGUGGUGGGAGACAGUGUCAGGCGGGCAGUUUGACUGGGGCGGUCGCCUCCUAAAAGGUAACGGAGGCGCUCAAAGGUUCCCUCAGAAUGGUUGGAAAUCAUUCAUAGAGUGUAAAGGCAUAAGGGAGCUUGACUGCGAGACCUACAAGUCGAGCAGGGUCGAAAGACGGACUUAGUGAUCCGGUGGUUCCGCAUGGAAGGGCCAUCGCUCAACGGAUAAAAGCUACCCCGGGGAUAACAGGCUUAUCUCCCCCAAGAGUUCACAUCGACGGGGAGGUUUGGCACCUCGAUGUCGGCUCAUCGCAUCCUGGGGCUGUAGUCGGUCCCAAGGGUUGGGCUGUUCGCCCAUUAAAGCGGUACGCGAGCUGGGUUCAGAACGUCGUGAGACAGUUCGGUCCCUAUCCGUCGUGGGCGUAGGAAAUUUGAGAGGAGCUGUCCUUAGUACGAGAGGACCGGGAUGGACAUACCUCUGGUGUACCAGUUGUCGUGCCAACGGCAUAGCUGGGUAGCUAUGUGUGGACGGGAUAAGUGCUGAAAGCAUCUAAGCAUGAAGCCCCCCUCAAGAUGAGAUUUCCCAACUUCGGUUAUAAGAUCCCUCAAAGAUGAUGAGGUUAAUAGGUUCGAGGUGGAAGCAUGGUGACAUGUGGAGCUGACGAAUACUAAUCGAUCGAAGACUUAAUCAA
This 2896-nucleotide ribosomal RNA is filed under the name Staphylococcus aureus. Its description in RNAcentral is "partial 23S ribosomal RNA". It matches the Rfam family "Bacterial large subunit ribosomal RNA". Lineage: Bacteria; Bacillati; Bacillota; Bacilli; Caryophanales; Staphylococcaceae. The record is from RNAcentral.